Molecule: ribosomal RNA, 353 nt
Filed under: uncultured fungus
Lineage: Eukaryota; Fungi
Description: SSU rRNA
Rfam family: Eukaryotic small subunit ribosomal RNA
Source: RNAcentral
UGUAGUCAUAUGCUUGUCUCAAAGAUUAAGCCAUGCAUGUCUAAGUAUAAACCACUUUGUACGGUGAAACUGCGAAUGGCUCAUUAUAUCAGUUAUGGUUUAUUUGAUGAUACCUUGCCACUUGGAUAACCGUGGUAAUUCUAGAGCUAAUACAUGCACGAAAUCCCGACUUCGUAGGAAGGGAUGUAUUUAUUAGGUAAAAACCAACCUGGGGCAACCCAGUCGCUGGUGAAUCAUGAUAACUUUGCGAACCGCAUCUGCCCUUGCGGCGGCGGUGGAUCAUUCAAAUUUCUGCCCUAUCAACUUUCGAUGGCAGGAUAGAGGCCUGCCAUGGUUUUAACGGGUAACGGGGA